Molecule: long non-coding RNA, 2685 nt
Filed under: Phocoena sinus (vaquita)
Lineage: Eukaryota; Metazoa; Chordata; Mammalia; Artiodactyla; Phocoenidae
Description: lncRNA (ENSPSNG00000006106.1)
Source: RNAcentral
AGGUGGAAAUUUUUGAUUUUUUAACAUUUAGUCUAAGGUUCCCGAGGGGUGGGCAUCUAGACCAAGGGUCAGCGCACCUUCUGUAUAGUUCUGUGGCCUGUGUCACAGCAGUGUUGGCAGUGUGGCCUUUGAAGGAGGAAGCAUUUACAGUCUGGGUCUUUGCUGUCUGGGACCCCAGCCUCUUCCAGCCUGAGGCAGGCUGGCCCUCCCCUCCCACUGUGGGUCCUGGGGCAGCUCAGCCUCUCCAGGGGGCUCUGCAGGUGUGAAGUGAGCAUCCUAGGACUUGGGGGUGGACAGGGCCCUCAGUAUGCCUUGGCCUUUGGUCUGGGCCCAGAACUGUACUCAGGGACACCAGUGCAGCUCCUGAGUCCAGAAGCCUGUGGGACUCUGUCCACACCUGGGGGGGGGGGGGGGACAUAAGCUGCACCCGCCACCCAGGAGGAAGGUGGCAGCCUCAGGCUUCCUGCCAGCAGGCAUGUCCUUAAACAGCCGUUUUUCGGCGAGGAGCCCACCUGGCCAAGUGUUUCUGCCUCCUGCUGCACUGGGGGUGAGCCCAGCGUCCCUGCAGCACCGUCCCUCACCUGCUUCCUGCUCUUAGCAGGUGACUGCCCUCAGCUGCUCCUGACUGCUCCAGCGCAGCCUUCUCUCCAGCCCUCCCCCAGGCUGCACAGCUCUGUCUCCUCAGAGGUCUUUUCUGACCACUGGGUCUAACGUCGGUUCUCCUGGUUGCUUCCUUGUGUUUAUUACAACCGAGACGUGGUCCUUGUAGGCACUGCCACUGGGCACCUGCCUGGGUCCUUCUGCCAGCUCAGCUGCUAGCUGUGUGGCCUUGGGCAAGUAACUGGAGCUCUCUGCCUCUGGUCAGAAUUCAGUGGGCUAAAGCAGCGGUCCCAAACCUCUUUGGCAGCAGGGACUGGUUUUGUGGAAAUCCAUUUUUCCAGGGACUGGGGGAGGGGAAUAUGGUUUGGGCAGUAACGCGAGCCAUGGGGAGCAGCAGAUGAAGCUUUGCUUUCUGCCUCUCAUCUGCUGUGCAGCCCAGUCCUAACAGGCUGCAGACCAGUAUUAGUCCACAGCCCGGGGUUUGAGGACCCCUGGGUUAAAGAAUGCAGGUAAGUGUGGUAAUUAGCUGUUGGUGUAGCGGUUUAAGCCUAUGACAAGCUGGAUGGCGUCUCUAUUCAGAUGGGCGUGUGGCGUGCGUGUGUACACAUAUACGUACAUACAUGUACACUUGAGGAGUGGCUGUUUGCUCUGACUACCCCAGAUGUGCCAUGAAGCAGGUGUCAUCCCCGCCUUACAGAUGUAGAAACCGAGGCUCAGACGGGUAAAGGUCACCCACAUCAUUGCUCCUGGUGUGUUUCCUAUGCACCUAUUAUGUGCCAGCCACUAUGCCAUGGGCCAAGGAUUCAGGUCUCUGCCAUCCUGAGGACCCUGUGCAGAGAUGACAACCCUGCCCCCACUUCACAGCUCUGUGCUGGGGCCCAGGAGCUCCACACACCUGGUCAGUUCCUGACCCGCUUCCCACCCUGCUGCCUGCUCCAGCCUUCCUCUGUGGCCGUGAACGUGAUCGCUUCCUGCCAAACCCUCUUCCUCCCCUGGACCAUCCACCCUCACCCCACUGGGGUCUGUCCUCAACCCAGGUGGAGUGGUAUCCUUAGUUCCAGGUGGAACUUAGGCGACUUAAUACCUGCUCAAAACCCUCCCACGGUUCCCAUCCCACUCCGAGUGAAAGGCAGCCCCCUGGCCUUGGCUAGUCGGGCCCAUCUUCACUCAGAUGCCCAGCGCCUUGCUGUCCACCCAGAGAGCGCGGUUCUGCCUGGGACCAUCUGCACUAGUUGUUACUCUGUCUGGAAGGUGCUUCCCCACAGGGAGCCAGGGCCUCUUAACUCGCACAUGUUGCCGGGCAGUGAGGUCUCUCCUGACCACUUUUCUUCCCCUUUGGCCACUAUCCGGGUUCUUAGUUCCCUGACCAGGGAUCGAACCCGUGCUCCCUGCAGUGGAAGCACGAAGUCUUAAACUUCGGACUGCCAGGGAAGUCCCUCUUUUGGCCACUCUUAAAAAUCAAGACCCACCCCCACACCGGCUUCAUUUUUCUCCGCAGCACUUAAGUCCAUCUAGCGGGAGUGUCCUGUGAGGCAGUACUUAGCCUGGCACCCCAGCAUACCACAUGCACACAGCGCUGAGCAUCUGCUCACCCAUGUGGCGGCCGGUCGUCAGAUGGUGUCCCUCUCCUUGUCUGCCCCAGAGCCCUGCUCCUCUAGGCCCUUAGCCCACGUGGAGUCCGGCUGGUCACCUGAACCCCCAAGAUAACUACCUCCCUCUGUGGCCUCAGUUUCCUCCUCAUAACACAGCCUCGCUCAGUCUCUGGACCUCUAGCCCUGCGGAUGGCCAGGCCAUCAAGGGUGGCUGGGCUGGGCAUGCCACGCCAGGGGUCUGGAUGGCACUUCGGUGAGGGGGAACCAGGAGAGGGCUGGUGGGAGGGAGCAGGUCUCAGUCGUGAGGCUCUGCUGCUGGAGCCCCAGUGCUGCAGGCACUCCAGGCCUCAGCUGCCCAUCUCCCUCCUGGGGAAGGAGAGAGCUUGGCGGCAGGUGUGGUUCUUAUGGGGGGCCAUCUAUGCAAACUUUGUUUUCUCGCAAGUGAUGUAUGUUGGCGUGGAAAUUGGAAAAGCAAAUAAAGAAUACAAGGUUU